UACGGAGGGAGCUAGCGUUGUUCGGAAUUACUGGGCGUAAAGGGCGCGUAGGCGGCCUGCUAAGUCGAACGUGAAAUCCCCGGGCUCAACCCGGGAACUGCGUCCGAUACUGGUGGGCUUGAAUCCGGGAGAGGGAUGCGGAAUUCCAGGUGUAGCGGUGAAAUGCGUAGAUAUCUGGAGGAACACCGGUGGCGAAGGCGGCAUCCUGGACCGGCAUUGACGCUGAGGCGCGAAAGCUAGGGUAGCAAAC
This 250-nucleotide ribosomal RNA is filed under the name uncultured bacterium. RNAcentral's name for it is "partial 16S ribosomal RNA". It matches the Rfam family "Bacterial small subunit ribosomal RNA", at positions 524 to 773 of the family's 1533-position model. The record is from RNAcentral.